Molecule: ribosomal RNA, 550 nt
Filed under: Pseudomonas sp.
Lineage: Bacteria; Pseudomonadati; Pseudomonadota; Gammaproteobacteria; Pseudomonadales; Pseudomonadaceae
Description: bacterial SSU rRNA
Rfam family: Bacterial small subunit ribosomal RNA
Source: RNAcentral
ACCUUCGGGCCUUGCGCUAUCAGAUGAGCCUAGGUCGGAUUAGCUAGUUGGUGAGGUAAUGGCUCACCAAGGCGACGAUCCGUAACUGGUCUGAGAGGAUGAUCAGUCACACUGGAACUGAGACACGGUCCAGACUCCUACGGGAGGCAGCAGUGGGGAAUAUUGGACAAUGGGCGAAAGCCUGAUCCAGCCAUGCCGCGUGUGUGAAGAAGGUCUUCGGAUUGUAAAGCACUUUAAGUUGGGAGGAAGGGCCAUUACCUAAUACGUGAUGGUUUUGACGUUACCGACAGAAUAAGCACCGGCUAACUCUGUGCCAGCAGCCGCGGUAAUACAGAGGGUGCAAGCGUUAAUCGGAAUUACUGGGCGUAAAGCGCGCGUAGGUGGUUCGUUAAGUUGGAUGUGAAAUCCCCGGGCUCAACCUGGGAACUGCAUUCAAAACUGUCGAGCUAGAGUAUGGUAGAGGGUGGUGGAAUUUCCUGUGUAGCGGUGAAAUGCGUAGAUAUAGGAAGGAACACCAGUGGCGAAGGCGACCACCUGGACUGAUACUGAC